RNAcentral lists this ribosomal RNA (116 nucleotides) under Pteropus alecto (black flying fox). The record is from RNAcentral. Lineage: Eukaryota; Metazoa; Chordata; Mammalia; Chiroptera; Pteropodidae.
GUCUACGGCCAUGCUACCCUGAACAAGCCUGAUCCCGUCUGAUCUCAGAAGCUAAGCAGGGUUGAGUCUGGUUAGUACUUGGAUGGGAGACCUAGGAAAACCAGGUGCUGUAGGCG